RNAcentral lists this small RNA (711 nucleotides) under Pan troglodytes (chimpanzee). RNAcentral's name for it is "processed transcript". The record is from RNAcentral. Lineage: Eukaryota; Metazoa; Chordata; Mammalia; Primates; Hominidae.
CUCGAAGCCCGGUUGCCGUGGAAGCCGCGUGGGGCGCCUUCCUCAGCUCUUCAGUUGAGGGUACCGGGGGAUCAAGGGCUCGGGGGCCCACUUCCACCUUGAAGCUACUAGGUAUAUGGUUCAUUAGUGAAUGGAUGGCCACUGGAAAAAGCACAGCUUUCCAGCUGGUGGAACUGGGCCCAGGUGUUCACUCAACUUGGAUCUGUGCUGAAAAAUUGUGACAUUUCAGUACAUCUGGUAGAGGUAAGCCAAAAAUUAAGUGAGAUUCAAGCAUUGACACUGACUGAAGAGAAGGUCCCAUUAGAGCGAAAUGCUGGAUCCCCAGUGUAUAUGAAAGGUGUCACUAAGUCUGGGAUUCCAAUUUCCUGGUACCGAGAUCUGCAUGAUGUUCCAAAAGGGUACAGCUUUUAUCUUGCACAUGAAUUUUUUGAUGUUCUUCCUGUGCAUAAAUUUCAGAAAACACCACAGGGAUGGCGAGAAGUAUUUGUUGACAUUGAUCCACAGGUUUCUGAUAAACUGAGGUUUGUUUUGGCACCUUCUGCCACCCCAGCAGAAGCCUUCAUACAACAUGACGAAACAAGGGAUCAUGUUGAAGUGUGUCCUGACGCUGGUGUUAUCAUCGAGGAACUUUCUCAACGCAUUGCAUUAACUGGAGGUGCUGCACUGGUUGCUGAUUAUGGUCAUGAUGGAACAAAGACAGAUACCUUCAGA